CCUACGGGAGGCAGCAGUGGGGAAUUUUGGACAAUGGGGGCAACCCUGAUCCAGCCAUGCCGCGUGCGGGAAGAAGGCCUUCGGGUUGUAAACCGCUUUUGUCAGGGAAGAAAUCCUUUGAACUAAUACUUCGGAGGGAUGACGGUACCUGAAGAAUAAGCACCGGCUAACUACGUGCCAGCAGCCGCGGUAAUACGUAGGGUGCAAGCGUUAAUCGGAAUUACUGGGCGUAAAGCGUGCGCAGGCGGUUAUGCAAGACAGAUGUGAAGUCCCCGGGCUCAACCUGGGAACUGCAUUUGUGACUGCAUGGCUAGAGUACGGUAGAGGGGGAUGGAAUUCCACGUGUAGCAGUGAAAUGCGUAGAUAUGUGGAGGAACACCGAUGGCGAAGGCAAUCCCCUGGACCUGUACUGACGCUCAUGCACGAAAGCGUGGGGAGCAAACAGGAUUAGAUACCCUGGUAGUCCACGCCCUAAACGAUGUCAACUGGUUGUUGGGAGGGUUUCUUCUCAGUAACGUAGCUAACGCGUGAAGUUGACCGCCUGGGGAGUACGGCCGCAAGGUUGAAACGUCAAAGGAAUUGACGG
RNAcentral lists this ribosomal RNA (586 nucleotides) under uncultured bacterium. Its description in RNAcentral is "bacterial SSU rRNA". It matches the Rfam family "Bacterial small subunit ribosomal RNA", at positions 338 to 916 of the family's 1533-position model. The record is from RNAcentral.